This 335-nucleotide long non-coding RNA is filed under the name Mus musculus (house mouse). Its description in RNAcentral is "predicted gene 9967". Lineage: Eukaryota; Metazoa; Chordata; Mammalia; Rodentia; Muridae. The record is from RNAcentral.
GCCCUUCCCCCUGCUCCGGGCUCCCGCUAGCCGUCUCGCCCGGAAAUGCGGCUACGACUUGCAGCCUAACCCAGAGGCUAACCCGGGCGUGAUUGCACCUCUGCUGCUCUGCUAUCUCGGACCACUGUCUCCAUUUGACCAGUUUCCUGAGGCUUGGAGAAGAGAUCCUCUCCAGAGAUUAUCCAGAUGACCCAUGACGAUGGGGAAGAAGAAAGAAGCCAGCCCAGGCGUUAUCUCUGCCCCUAAGCUGUUAACGUGGAGGCCUCCUUCUCAUGCCCUCUUGACUUCUAGCUAUGGGACCAAAGUGAUAUGGAUUAAAACCUCUGGAACAAUGA